CCUACGGGAAGCAGCAGUGAGGAAUAUUGGUCAAUGGACGAGAGUCUGAACCAGCCAAGUAGCGUGAAGGAUGACUGCCCUAUGGGUUGUAAACUUCUUUUAUAUGGGAAUAAAACGUUCCACGUGUGGGAUUUUGUAUGUACCAUAUGCAUAAGGAUCGGCUAACUCCGUGCCAGCAGCCGCGGUAAUACGGAGGAUCCGAGCGUUAUCCGGAUUUAUUGGGUUUAAAGGGAGCGUAGGUGGAUUGUUAAGUCAGUUGUGAAAGUUUGCGGCUCAACCGUAAAAUUGCAGUUGAAACUGGCAGUCUUGAGUACAGUAGAGGUGGGCGGAAUUCGUGGUGUAGCGGUGAAAUGCUUAGAUAUCACGAAGAACUCCGAUUGCGAAGGCAGUUCACUGGACUGCAACUGACACUGAGGCUCGAAAGUGUGGGUAUCAAACAGGAUUAGAUACCCCGGUAGUC
RNAcentral lists this ribosomal RNA (460 nucleotides) under uncultured bacterium. RNAcentral describes it as "partial 16S ribosomal RNA". It matches the Rfam family "Bacterial small subunit ribosomal RNA", at positions 338 to 795 of the family's 1533-position model. The record is from RNAcentral.